AACGAACGCUGGCGGCAGGCUUAACACAUGCAAGUCGAGCGCCUCGCAAGAGGAGCGGCAGACGGGUGAGUAACGCGUGGGAAUCUACCCAUCUCUACGGAACAACUCCGGGAAACUGGAGCUAAUACCGUAUACGUCCUUCGGGAGAAAGAUUUAUCGGAGAUGGAUGAGCCCGCGUUGGAUUAGCUAGUUGGUGGGGUAAUGGCCUACCAAGGCGACGAUCCAUAGCUGGUCUGAGAGGAUGAUCAGCCACAUUGGGACUGAGACACGGCCCAAACUCCUACGGGAGGCAGCAGUGGGGAAUAUUGGACAAUGGGCGAAAGCCUGAUCCAGCCAUGCCGCGUGAGUGAUGAAGGCCCUAGGGUUGUAAAGCUCUUUCAACGGUGAAGAUAAUGACGGUAACCGUAGAAGAAGCCCCGGCUAACUUCGUGCCAGCAGCCGCGGCAAUACGAAGGGGGCUAGCGUUGUUCGGAAUUACUGGGCGUAAAGCGCACGUAGGCGGAUUGUUAAGUUAGGGGUGAAAUCCCAGGGCUCAACCCUGGAACUGCCUUUAAUACUGGCAAUCUCGAGUCCGAGAGAGGUGAGUGGAAUUCCGAGUGUAGAGGUGAAAUUCGUAGAUAUUCGGAGGAACACCAGUGGCGAAGGCGGCUCACUGGCUCGGUACUGACGCUGAGGUGCGA
Molecule: ribosomal RNA, 680 nt
Filed under: uncultured bacterium
Lineage: Bacteria
Description: bacterial SSU rRNA
Rfam family: Bacterial small subunit ribosomal RNA
Source: RNAcentral